GUCCACGCUGUAAACGAUGGGCACUAGGUGUCCGGGGUAUUGACCCCCUGGGUGCCGCAGCUAACGCAUUAAGUGCCCCGCCUGGGGAGUACGGUCGCAAGAUUAAAACUCAAAGGAAUUGACGGGGGCCCGCACAAGCUGUGGAGCAUGUGGUUCAAUUCGACGCAACGCGAAGAACCUUACCUGGACUAGACAACAGUGGACCAUCCUAGAAAUAGGAUUUUCCCUUCGGGGACCGCUGGUUCAGGUGCUGCAUGGCUGUCGU
RNAcentral lists this ribosomal RNA (265 nucleotides) under uncultured bacterium. RNAcentral's name for it is "partial 16S ribosomal RNA". It matches the Rfam family "Bacterial small subunit ribosomal RNA", at positions 793 to 1055 of the family's 1533-position model. The record is from RNAcentral.